Molecule: transfer RNA, 72 nt
Filed under: Camelus bactrianus (Bactrian camel)
Lineage: Eukaryota; Metazoa; Chordata; Mammalia; Artiodactyla; Camelidae
Also listed under: 2 other names
Rfam family: tRNA
About the family: Transfer RNA (tRNA) molecules are approximately 80 nucleotides in length. Their secondary structure includes four short double-helical elements and three loops (D, anti-codon, and T loops).
Source: Rfam by way of RNAcentral
GAGGGUAUAGCUCGGUGGUAGAGUGCAUGCUUACCAUGCAUGAGGUCCUGGAUUGAAUCCCCAGCACUUCCA